GAUGCUAUAUAUGACUUUGCAAGAGAAGGCGAUACAGAGAACUUGAUCAAGUGUGUCGAGGCUGGCAUUCCUGUGGAUAUAAAGGAUAGUGAGGGUCGGGCCCCUUUGCACUGGGCUGUUGAUCGUGGCCAUAUCGAACUUGAAAAGGCACCGGUUUAGGGAUAACGAGGGCCAGACACUGUUGCAUUAUGCUGCUGUUUGCGAGAGAGAACGCAUAGCCGAGCUGCGUAUGAAGAAAAACGCGUCAACAUAUAUAAAGACGAUGACGGAAACUAUCCUGCCAAUCUUUGUGAUUCA
Molecule: long non-coding RNA, 297 nt
Organism: Helianthus annuus (common sunflower)
Lineage: Eukaryota; Viridiplantae; Streptophyta; Magnoliopsida; Asterales; Asteraceae
Exons: 3
Source: RefSeq, a predicted model, not a curated record